UACGGAGGGUGCAAGCGUUACUCGGAAUCACUGGGCGUAAAGGACGCGUAGGCGGGUUGGUAAGUCAGGUGUGAAAUCCUACAGCUCAACUGUAGAACUGCACUUGAAACUACCAACCUAGAGUAUGGGAGGGGCAGAUGGAAUUAGUGGUGUAGGGGUAAAAUCCGUAGAUAUCACUAGGAAUACCUAAAGCGAAGGCGAUCUGCUGGAACAUUACUGACGCUAAGGCGUGAAAGCGUGGGGAGCAAACGGG
RNAcentral lists this ribosomal RNA (253 nucleotides) under uncultured bacterium. Its description in RNAcentral is "partial 16S ribosomal RNA". It matches the Rfam family "Bacterial small subunit ribosomal RNA", at positions 524 to 776 of the family's 1533-position model. The record is from RNAcentral.